This 500-nucleotide ribosomal RNA is filed under the name uncultured bacterium. RNAcentral describes it as "partial 16S ribosomal RNA". It matches the Rfam family "Bacterial small subunit ribosomal RNA", at positions 30 to 523 of the family's 1533-position model. The record is from RNAcentral.
AUUGAACGCUGGCGGAAUGCUUUACACAUGCAAGUCGAACGGCAGCACGGACUUCGGUCUGGUGGCGAGUGGCGAACGGGUGAGUAAUGUAUCGGAACGUGCCCAGUCGUGGGGGAUAACGUAGUGAAAAUUACGCUAAUACCGCAUACGAUCUAUGGAUGAAAGCGGGGGAUCGCAAGACCUCGCGCGAUUGGAGAGGCCGAUAUCAGAUUAGGUAGUUGGUGGGGUAAAGGCCCACCAAGCCAACGAUCUGUAGCCGGUCUGAGAGGACGACCAGCCACACUGGAGCUGAGACACGGUCCAGACUCCUACGGGAGGCAGCAGUGGGGAAUUUUGGACAAUGGGCGAAAGCCUGAUCCAGCCAUUCCGCGUGCAGGAUGAAGGCCCUCGGGUUGUAAACUGCUUUUGUACAGAACGAAAAGGUUUCUACUAAUACUAGGAGCUCAUGACGGUACUGUAAGAAUAAGCACCGGCUAACUACGUGCCAGCCGCCGCCGUAA